UUGAGGGAAACAGCUUAAUAGUGGAAUGUACGAAAACCUACCUGUUUCCUUUGUAAGACUCUAGACAGAGAGAUCCAUGCCUGCAAUUCAAGUAAAAGAAAGCCAUUUUAGAAUCUGGAGUUUGUCUUCUUGUAGAUAGAAUAAUGUUAUGAACUGAAUGUUUGUGUCCCCUCCACCUCCAUUCAUAUGUUGAAAUCCUCAAUGUGAUGGUUCUAGGAGGUGGGGUCUUUGGGAGUCUAUUAGUUCGUGAGGGUGAAGCCCUCACAAGUGAGAUUAGUGUCCUUAUAAAAGGGGCCCCAGGGCUGUGGUGGCGGCGGUGGAGGCUGAGGCGGCGGCUGAGGUGGCGACGGAAGAAACAGAAGAUGGCAGAUUUUUUGAAAGGACUGCCUGUCUACAACAAAAUCAAUGUUUGUCUAUUUCACGCGGACUCCGAUGCAAAACCUCGAACCGACGGCCCUCAGUCUACCUGCCCACCCGAGAAUACCCGUCUGAACAGAUCAUCGUGACCGAAAAGGCAAACAUCCUCCUGUGCUACCUGCAUCAGCAAUGGAUAAAAAGAACGCUGCCAAUAAGAGAGACCAGAAGCAAGGGGAACUGGAAGGCGAGAGUUCGGCGCCCCUCCGCAAGGUGGCGCGGAUCGACAGCUCAAACGUGCAGGAGGACACUACCCCACAGGCGUGUCCUGCCGGGUCUGCUCCUCGGUCGCUCACCCGCCCGCCUCCCGGCCUGCGCAUUCACAGCCUGCGUCCACACCAUUUCCAACCUCAUAGGAGCCGACGUAUUUAUUUUUCUUGGGUUUUUAUUUAUGCUGUAACCUGUAUCAAGCGUUGGUUAAAGGGGACAUCAGACCCAGUAGUGUGAUGCUGGUAGAUGCUUUUUUCAAAAAAAGCCACAUUGUCCCUCCGACCCCCACCUUCCGCCUGUUCAGUUCCCCCACUCCCGCCCCCAGUUCUCCAGAGAACCAGAGCGUGCCUCUGAGGGUCUCUAGCGAGACUUCACUGUGGCCAGGCGGCAGGGGCGGGCCCGGG
Cercocebus atys (sooty mangabey) is the source of this 1028-nucleotide RNA transcript. RefSeq lists it as uncharacterized. NCBI's taxonomy places the organism in Eukaryota, Metazoa, Chordata, Mammalia, Primates, Cercopithecidae. The record is from RefSeq and is a predicted model, not a curated record. The transcript has a single exon.